CUGAGACACGGCCCAAACUCGUUCGGGAGGCAGCAGUAAGGAAUCUUCCACAAUGGAUGAAAGUCUGAUGGAGCAACGCCGCGUGAGUGAAGAAGGGUUUCGGAUCGAUAAAGCUCUGUUGGUAGUGAAGAAAGAUAGAGGUAGUAACUGGCCUUUAUUUGACGGUAAUUACUUAGAAAGUCACGGCUAACUACGUGCCAGCAGCCGCGGUAAUACGUAGGUGGCAAGCGUUGUCCGGAUUUAUUGGGCGUAAAGCGAGUGCAGGCGGUUCAAUAAGUCUGAUGUGAAAGCCUUCGGCUCAACCGGAGAAUUGCAUCAGAAACUGUUGAACUUGAGUGCAGAAGAGGAGAGUGGAACUCCAUGUGUAGCGGUGGAAUGCGUAGAUAUAUGGAAGAACACCAGUGGCGAAGGCGGCUCUCUGGUCUGCAACUGACGCUGAGGCUCGAAAGCAUGGGUAGCGAACAGGAUUAGAUACCCUGGUAGUCCAUGCCGUAAACGAUGAGUGCUAAGUGUUGGGAGGUUUCCGCCUCUCAGUGCUGCAGCUAACGCAUUAAGCACUCCGCCUGGGGAGUACGACCGCAAGGUUGAAACUCAAAGGAAUUGACGGGGGCCCGCACAAGCGGUGGAGCAUGUGGUUUAAUUCGAAGCAACGCGAAGAACCUUACCAGGUCUUGACAUCCAGUGCAAACCUAAGAGAUUAGGUGUUCCCUUCGGGGACGCUGAGACAGGUGGUGCAUGGCUGUCGUCAGCUCGUGUCGUGAGAUGUUGGGUUAAGUCCCGCAACGAGCGCAACCCUUGUCAUUAGUUGCCAUCAUUAAGUUGGGCACUCUAAUGAGACUGCCGGUGACAAACCGGAGGAAGGUGGGGAUGACGUCAAGUCAUCAUGCCCCUUAUGACCUGGGCUACACACGUGCUACAAUGGACGGUACAACGAGAAGCGAACCUGCGAAGGCAAGCGGAUCUCUUAAAGCUGUUCUCAGUUCGGACUGUAGGCUGCAACUCGCCUACACGAAGCUGGAAUCGCUAGUAAUCGCGGAUCAGCACGCCGCGGUGAAUACGUUCCCGGGCCUUGCACUCACCGCCCGUCA
RNAcentral lists this ribosomal RNA (1088 nucleotides) under uncultured bacterium. RNAcentral's name for it is "bacterial SSU rRNA". It matches the Rfam family "Bacterial small subunit ribosomal RNA", at positions 319 to 1399 of the family's 1533-position model. The record is from RNAcentral.